RNAcentral lists this ribosomal RNA (544 nucleotides) under uncultured bacterium. RNAcentral describes it as "bacterial SSU rRNA". It matches the Rfam family "Bacterial small subunit ribosomal RNA", at positions 776 to 1314 of the family's 1533-position model. The record is from RNAcentral.
GAAAUAGACUACCCGUGGUAGUCCACCGCCGUAAACGAUGAGUGCUAAGUGUUAGGGGUUUCCGCCCCUUAGUGCUGCAGCUAACGCAUUAAGCACUCCGCCUGGGGAGUACGGUCGCAAGACUGAAACUCAAAGGAAUUGACGGGGGCCCGCACAAGCGGUGGAGCAUGUGGUUUAAUUCGAAGCAACGCGAAGAACCUUACCAGGUCUUGACAUCCCGUUGACCACUGUAGAGAUAUGGUUUUCCCUUCGGGGACAACGGUGACAGGUGGUGCAUGGUUGUCGUCAGCUCGUGUCGUGAGAUGUUGGGUUAAGUCCCGCAACGAGCGCAACCCUUGAUCUUAGUUGCCAUCAUUUAGUUGGGCACUCUAAGGUGACUGCCGGUGACAAACCGGAGGAAGGUGGGGAUGACGUCAAAUCAUCAUGCCCCUUAUGACCUGGGCUACACACGUGCUACAAUGGACGGUACAAAGAGUCGCUAACUCGCGAGAGUACGCUAAUCUCAUAAAACCGUUCUCAGUUCGGAUUGUAGGCUGCAACUCCG